UUGUCCUCUAUUAUAUCGAUUUCAGUUGCAAUCUCAUCGACAAAUCGUGGAGAAUACCUUCCUUCUUCGGUGACCUCGUUUGGAAAUUGUACUUCUAUAGCCGUGGACUUAACAAAUCUCUCCACCUUCCGUAGAAGAAACUUCACGAAUUGGUCCCAUUCUGGUUCUUCAGCCCGAGGAGUGGACGAAAACUCGAACGUUUCUUGAUGGAGCUGCCUCAGGUGUACGACAGGCAUACGGAUCACUUGAGCAUUGUCUGUCAAUGUUGUUCUGUCCUGCUCUGACCGUCACCACAAUUCAGCAGCGUUUGAGGGCCAAAUAGCACCCGAGCCGAUAGCAACAUCUUGUGUUGCAAUGCAUCAUAUGAACGAGUGUGAAAGUAAGAUAUACAACGCGGAGGAGCUCACUCACGUGGGUGGAUGGGUGUUGAUACAGAGAGAAGAAAGUUUGGGUUUGUUCAGGACGAACCGACCUCACACUGCUUUUACGAACUUGACUCAUCACUCUCUGGUGCAAGGUUCUUCAACUUAAAUCUGUAUUCUGCGUCACCUAUGUUAAAUGUUACACUGCGUUUAAUACAAGAGUGGUACAACUGAUAUUUUCGGAGCAGUCGUAUCAAACACGUUCAGUACAACAAUUCUUUUAGAAAGCUAAGUAUUAAAAUGUUUUCAAGUGAAACCUAAAUUUCGUGUACGUAAACAUUUGUCUGACAUUUUUUCAGUUGUGUGUUUGAGCACAGGGUGGGAGGAUAAUAUUAAAUCUUAGAGAAAUAGGAUGGGGUGAUAUGGACUGUAUUCAUCUAGCUUAGAAUAGGGACCAGUGGCGGGCUCUUGUGAACACGGUAAUGAGCCUUUGGGUUCCAUAAAAUAUUGGGGAACUUCUUCAGUGGCUGAGCGAACGCUGACUUCUCAGAAAUGACUCGGCUCCAUCGAGUAAGUGUAAAAGAACAGGCCUUCACCGAAACGUAAGUUUAUGCACGAGGAAUUAAUAAAUAAGUGUAUGUUUAUAAAUAGAAAUUUAAAGAUGUAAAUUCGAA
Zootermopsis nevadensis is the source of this 1036-nucleotide non-coding RNA. The record is from RefSeq and is a predicted model, not a curated record. Lineage: Eukaryota; Metazoa; Arthropoda; Insecta; Blattodea; Termopsidae.